AAAUAAGAUUUCAAUUGAAAACACUGUCAUCUGCUUGGUGAACAAGUGUGACUUAAACUGUAUGAAACUAUUGCGACGAAAUGAAGACAAUUUUGGUGAAACAAGUCAGAAGAACAGUCACUUGGUGAGGUGUAAACUCCUCAUCUGUCCACCAGGGUGUGAAACUGAUCGAGAGACAUCAGUGUAUUCAGAGCUAGGGCUGCAGGUGUGUCGUUAAAUUGCCCAUGCUGCAAAAUGGCCGCAGAGUACCGCAAACUUUGGGAAUUAUAAUGAUCGUUUGGAGAUUAUUUACAUGGUAAUCUUUCACAGCGGCACGACGAGGAAAUUCUUAGUUUCCUUUAAAACACGGACUGAACAAAGAAUUAAAACUGCAAUUACUAAUAUUGCAGUAAUAGAGGAAAAACUAACUUCCGGACAUCUUGAAAAAUUGCAAUCGCCAGCGCCUCACGUAACGUUUCCCGAACCUGACUGCAGAUCGGCGGCAGAAAAUCACCAGUAUGGAGGAAAAUACCCUCAUCGUAAUUGACCCCUUGGGAAAUGGGAAACUCAAUGAAAGAGGAAUUCUUCUUAAUCGGAGAAACUUUCAGAGGAAAAGACGAUCGACUGAGGAAGAAUGGACAGUACAGAAGCUACCAGAACCCCCCUGGACCUCCCCCCACCCACCCAGAAGGACAGUUCCAGUUGUGGAGUCUUAACUUUAACUGUAUUGAUACUGGCUCAUUAUGGGGUAAGUUGUUCUUAUAUUUACUGCUGACUACCCACCUCUGACCAUGUACUUCCCAGAACAGUACCAGGCAGAUGAGAUUGAUAGGAUGAUUUUUAUAGUUUAGCAUUUUUAUGUGUUAAUAAGACUAAAGUCUUGCUUGUUUUUGGUGAUAUUUUGACAUGUUCAGAUAUGAUGGUUUUUGGAGUUUUAGCACAAUACCACGAUAUAGUUUCGCUAUAUAGCAGUAUUUUAUGUUAAAUAUUUUUUAAAUUUACAAUAUUGUCAUAAUUUUUGUGAUAAAAAACAUUUUAUAACCUAAAGAAAAAUAUUAGAAAAAAAAUAGCAAAAAAUCAAUUAAAAGACAUUGCUGGUAGCUUUGUUUACCUAGAGGAGAUCGAACACAUCAUUGAGCAUGAUCUUCUGUUCCUCAUGCUGAUUGGCUCAUGCGUCGUAGCAUCUCUCAGCAUCUCCCCUUGUCUGACAGAUACUCUUGUACUUUGUUCUGCGCAGUUAUGUAUAGGAUGUUGCUGUAAAGUUUGUGCUCUUGUGUUUGGUGAAAGUUGACCCUAAUUUAACGCCCUACUCCUAAAUGCUCUGAUCGUGUUCUCAGGCUUCUGUUCUUAGCCCAAACAAUGACACUGACACAGAUGACAGUUAACAGCCUUUAUUUUUCUUUACAAUAAUGUGCGCUCCUGCGCAUUCCUCUGUUCAUUCUCCUCUCGCCUUGGUCCCAGCUCCUACUACUAUAA
This is a long non-coding RNA of Cynoglossus semilaevis (tongue sole), 1455 nucleotides long. RefSeq lists it as uncharacterized. The record is from RefSeq and is a predicted model, not a curated record. The transcript has 3 exons. Lineage: Eukaryota; Metazoa; Chordata; Actinopteri; Pleuronectiformes; Cynoglossidae.